CAAAAGGCCCUUUUAAGGGCCGCUCACCUUCUCUAUAAGAGGCUG
Molecule: non-coding RNA, 45 nt
Organism: Gasterosteus aculeatus (three-spined stickleback)
Lineage: Eukaryota; Metazoa; Chordata; Actinopteri; Perciformes; Gasterosteidae
Source: Rfam